UUUUUAUUCUUUUAUUAUUUAUUUUUUUUAUUAUUUUUAUUUAUUAUUUUUUAGUUUAUUAAUUAAAUAAUUAAUUAUUUUAUACUGUUAAGGAUUGUUUUAAAAUUAUGAAUUUAAUUUUUUGUACCUUUUGUAUCAGGGUUAAUUUAAUUUUUUAUUUAUAUUAUUUUCCCGAAUCGAAUUGAUCUUUAUUAAUAUUAAUUUCUUGUUUUAUAAAGUUUUAUUAUUUUAAUAAUGUAAUUAAAAGUUAUUCGUUUUUCGUUAUAUCUGGUUAUCUAAUAUUAAAUUUAAUUUUGAUUAUUUUUUAUAAUUUAUUUAAUGAGGGAUAAUCUUCAUUUAUUUCUAAAAUUUUUAUUUUAUUUAUAUUAUUAUGAUUUGAAUUUUCAUUUUAGUUUUUAAUAAAUUGGAUUAUUUUAUUAAGAUUUAUUUCUUAUUUAGUAUCUUAUUAGUUUUUUUUAUUUAAUAAUACUUUUUAAUUAAUACUGAUUAAAUUAGUAUAAUUUUUAAUUAUUUUAUAAUGAACUCGGCAAUUUUAAUUUUCAAAUGUUUAACAAAAACAUUUCUUUUAGAAUUUUUUUUAAAAGUAAUAUCUGCUCAAUGAUUAGUUUUAAAUAGCUGCAGUAUUUUGACUGUACUAAGGUAGCAUAAUAAUUAGUCUUUUAAUUGGAGUCUGGAAUGAAUGAUAAAAUGAGAAAUUAUCUUUAUUUAAUUUAUUAUUAAAAUUUAAUUUUUAAGUGAAAAAGCUUAAUUAAUUUUUUGGGACGAGAAGACCCUAUAGAACUUUAUUUAUUUAUUUAAUAUUAAUUAUUUUUGGUUUUAGUUAUUUUAUUAUUUUUGUUAAUUUAGUUGGGGUGAUUGUUAAAUUUAACUUUAAUUUUUUUAUUCAUUUUUUUUAUGAUUAAUUGAUCCUUUUUAGAUUAUAAGAUUAAGUUACCUUAGGGAUAACAGCGUAAUUUUAAUGGUAAGUUCUUAUUUAUAUUAAAGUUUGCGACCUCGAUGUUGAAUUAAGAUAAUUCUAUGGGGUAGGUUUUAUAGUUUUAAGUCUGUUCGACUUUUAGUAUCUUACAUGAUUUGAGUUCAGACCGGUGUGAGCCAGGUCGGUUUCUAUCUUAAAAUUUUACUAUUAUUUUAGUACGAAAGGACCAUUUAAUACAAUUCUAAAUUGUUUUUUUUUAAU
Molecule: ribosomal RNA, 1177 nt
Filed under: Centrotus cornutus
Lineage: Eukaryota; Metazoa; Arthropoda; Insecta; Hemiptera; Membracidae
Description: 16S ribosomal RNA
Source: RNAcentral